GACGAACGCUGGCGGCGUGCCUAACACAUGCAAGUCGAGCGGGGUCCAUCCGGUAGCAAUACCGGGGAAGACCUAGCGGCGAACGGGUGAGUAACACGUGAGAAACCUGCCCCGAAGUCUGGGAUAACCCGAGGAAACUCGAGCUAAUACCGGAUGUCUUCUUCUGAUCGCAUGGUCGGAUGAAGAAAGAUUUAUCGCUUCGGGAGGGUCUCGCGGCCUAUCAGCUAGUUGGCGGGUAACGGCCCACCAAGGCGUCGACGGGUAGCUGGUCUGAGAGGACGAUCAGCCACACUGGGACUGAGACACGGCCCAGACUCCUACGGGAGGCAGCAGUGGGGAAUAUUGCGCAAUGGGCGAAAGCCUGACGCAGCAACGCCGCGUGCGGGAUGAAGGCCUUCGGGUUGUAAACCGCUUUCAGUGGGGACGAAGUUCAGACGGUACCCACAGAAGAAG
This 453-nucleotide ribosomal RNA is filed under the name uncultured bacterium. Its description in RNAcentral is "bacterial SSU rRNA". It matches the Rfam family "Bacterial small subunit ribosomal RNA", at positions 28 to 490 of the family's 1533-position model. The record is from RNAcentral.